This 505-nucleotide ribosomal RNA is filed under the name uncultured bacterium. Its description in RNAcentral is "partial 16S ribosomal RNA". It matches the Rfam family "Bacterial small subunit ribosomal RNA", at positions 28 to 507 of the family's 1533-position model. The record is from RNAcentral.
GACGAACGCUGGCGGCGUGCCUAAUACAUGCAAGUCGAACGCACAGUUUAUACCGUAGCUUGCUACACCAUAAACUGUGAGUUGCGAACGGGUGAGUAACGCGUAGGUAACCUGCCUGGUAGCGGGGGAUAACUAUUGGAAACGAUAGCUAAUACCGCAUAAUAUUGAUUAUUGCAUGAUAAUUGAUUGAAAGAUGCUAUUGCAUCACUACCAGAUGGACCUGCGUUGUAUUAGCUAGUAGGUGAGGUAACGGCUCACCUAGGCGACGAUACAUAGCCGACCUGAGAGGGUGAUCGGCCACACUGGGACUGAGACACGGCCCAGACUCCUACGGGAGGCAGCAGUAGGGAAUCUUCGGCAAUGGACGAAAGUCCGACCGAGCAACGCCGCGUGAGUGAAGAAGGGUUUCGGAUCGUAAAGCUCUGUUGUAAGAGAAGAACGGGUGUGAGAGUGGAAAGUUCACACUGUGACGGUAGCUUACCAGAAAGGGACGGCUAACUACGUG